CUUAAAAUUCCUGUCCAAGCUCAGAGUGGAUUAUCUGGUCACCCUACAUUUAUAGAUUUCCACUGAGGCAGCUUCCAGGGUUAGCGAUGGAACAGAAGACGUGUGCUGACUCCCAUGGAGCUGCCUGGGUAUGAAAUAACUGGCAAACAACUGUCCCUCUGUUGAUCUGAGGCUGAUCCAAACAUGCUCAUCAUGGUCAGUAGUUAGGAUUCAGGUGUCACAGGAAACAAUGAGCAGUGGUAACAGAAUCCACAAGAGUCACAGUCUCUAGGUGUCUGCUUUGUAGACCUACAGCGAUUGCUGGUGCUCCUUGGUCGAGCCUCUGGGUUGUAACAAUAGUCAAGACAUAGCUGCAGGCCAGCGAGAGACAAGCGCUAUAAAUCCUGAGGAGAAGAUACAAAUACAGAGACUGCAAAGUUCAAGUGGAGGAAUUGAGAGGAUGGGAUGUGAUAGUAGACAGGUAAUGGUGAAAUACCAAAGAAUCAUGAGACGGAAAAGGCCACUGUGGGACAAAGGGACCGGGGAUGCAUCAGAAAAUGACACAAGCAUGGAUUUUGGACUUACAAAGAACUUGAAGACUGGGCAAACACUACCUCCAAUGACCGUGCAGGAUGUGAUGAGGAAGCUGUGAUGACUGCGACUUCCUCCACAAGCAAAAAUGGAGAAAUCUUCUAUUUAGAUUAUUAGACGCAGCGUAUGCCUGAGGGCAGUGUGUGGCCCAGCGGGUUAAGAUGCUGCACUUGUGAUUGUAAGGCCGCCAGCUUAAAUGCCAGGGUUGGCCGACCCUUGAGCAAGGCCCUUAAUUAAUAGACUAACAAAGCUUUAAUUCAGGUGUAACCAGCUAUUACUGUAUAUGCUAGUUACACAAACGAAGAAAUUUCACAGAAAACUGAGACAGUUGCUACUGGUAGAAGACUACUACUGUAAUAAAAGUUGUAAAUCGAUUCAAAACUUUCAGACACAUAUUAAAAAAAGACUACAUGUCUUGCAAACAAUCACAUCUGUCAUCUACUUACAUUUCAAUUUCUGUUUCUCAAAACUUGUGCUUGUUUCUGCUUAGUUUGUGCCAAGAGUAAUCAUCACCUCUCAUGAAUCAUGGGAUUGGCAGUUUCAUCCUGCAGGUGGAACAGUCGACUUGGUAAUUAUUAAAAGUGUCAUUGAAACAGACAUUUUAUUUAAGUUUUGGGCAUUUAUGCAUUUGCAUAGU
Brienomyrus brachyistius is the source of this 1207-nucleotide long non-coding RNA. RefSeq lists it as uncharacterized. NCBI's taxonomy places the organism in Eukaryota, Metazoa, Chordata, Actinopteri, Osteoglossiformes, Mormyridae. The record is from RefSeq and is a predicted model, not a curated record. The transcript has 3 exons.